Molecule: non-coding RNA, 2688 nt
Organism: Ciona intestinalis (vase tunicate)
Lineage: Eukaryota; Metazoa; Chordata; Ascidiacea; Phlebobranchia; Cionidae
Source: RefSeq, a predicted model, not a curated record
UUUAGAUUUGCAAACUACACCGCUACACCAUUUUUAUCAUCGACAAAAAUAGAAACACUGUGAAUGGCCAUUUUUUAAUGGCAGGAAAUGUUGAGUCCCCAUGACAUGUUAUACAACAAGCCUAGUUUUCAUGAAACAUAAAGUAGGCAUUGUAACAAACGGUUUGGUUUAAAUUUUAUUCCAAAACUAACAAAAGGAUGGCAAGCGCUUCAAAAUCUACAAGAAAAGGAUGUGGUCCAAAACACAGCAACUCACCUACAAUAAUAGUUAUGGUUGGUCUUCCUGCAAGAGGGAAAACAUAUAUUGGUAAAAAGUUGUCAAGAUACCUCAACUGGGUUGGUGUCAACACAAAAGUAUUCAAUGUUGGACAAUAUAGGCGGGAAACUGUCAAAUUCAAGUCACAUGAUUUUUUCCGCACUGAUAAUGAAGAAGCGAUGAAGAUAAGAAAGCAAUGUGCAAUGGAGGCAUUGAAAGAUGUGUGCAAGUGGUUGAAGGGAAACGGAAUGAUUGCAGUCUAUGACGCAACCAAUACGACACGAGCAAGAAGAAACGAUAUUUUAGACUUUGCGGAGGAACAUUGUUUUAGGGUGUUUUUCGUGGAAUCGAUUUGUGACGACCCGACAGUUGUUGAACAAAAUGUGGCAGAGGUGAAAGUGAAUGGUCCUGAUUAUCGGGACACAGAUCCAGAUGCUGCCAUGGAGGAUUUCAAACUUCGUAUAGCUCAUUAUAAAGAGUCUUACGAGACGAUUGACCCAACCAUUGAUGAUGAUCUUUCCUACAUCAAGAUAAUUGAUGUAGGUCGUAGGUUCAUGGUGAACAGGGUAGCUGAUCAUAUACAAAGUCGUAUUGUGUAUUACCUCAUGAAUAUUCAUAUACAACCAAGAUCUAUCUACUUGUGCAGACAUGGUGAAAGUGAAAUGAACAUCAAAGGAAGGAUAGGAGGAGAUUCAUCACUAUCUCAAAAUGGAAGAGAGUUUGCUGUAGAAUUGGGUACAUUUAUUAAGAAGCAAGAUAUAAAGGGAUUGACAGUCUGGACGAGUGAAUUAAAACGCACAGGUGAAACUGCCGUACAUAUCGGUGCACCGAGUGAAAAAUGGAAAGCCCUAAAUGAAAUAAGUGCAGGUGUCUGUGAAAGCAUGACGUAUGCGGAAAUCCAACGGAAUUUUCCAGAAGAAUUUGCUCUUCGAGAUCAAGAUAAAUACCAUUACAGAUAUCCAAUGGGAGAGUCCUACCAUGAUCUUGUGACAAGACUGGAACCAGUGAUCAUGGAAUUGGAACGUUCGGAGAAUGUGUUAGUGAUUUGUCAUCAAGCAGUUAUGAGAUGUGUGCUUGCAUAUUACCUGGAUGAAACUUCAGAACGACUUCCUUAUCUUGAGUGUCCACUGCAUACUGUAAUGAAACUGACACCCGUUGCUUAUGGAUGUAAAGUCGAAAGUUUUCCUCUUGGUAUAAAUGCAGUCGACACGCAUAGACCAAAACCUCAGGAUGCUAGUCCCUCGAUGGUACCCAUUGAUGACCCUGUGUGUGAUAUCUGUGGCCCACUGGAAGCUGAGACAGCAAUUUCAAAGAACGAGUCUGAAACUUCCCGAUCAACUUGGCGCCCCACAAGCGCAAGUUCUUCACAGAUAGAACGUCUGAUGAAGAAACGUUCGAACGUUGCGAGAGCGGCGUUAAGGGAUGAAGUGAUCUACCCUCGGCCAGGCGAUGUAGCAUCUGUCAACUCUCUCGUCACUCUCGCUUCGUUCUUCAGACGUCCAGCAACAGCUGUAGAACACAGAGAGACAGAAUUGAACUUGGAGAGAAGGCCAAGUUCAGAUUAGCGCAGACAAUAUCGGUCAUGUGUCACAACCCAACCAUGAAGGACCAGGAACAGCACAAACACUUGAUCACUGACCACCGCAUCCACCAUAGUUUUCAAAUCUCUGAAGCUGACAGCCCUGCUUCCAUCUCCUAAUGCUCCCACUCCUACUUUUUUCUGAGUGCUCGCACUGCCUCGAUAUUUUACUCAGUGCUGUACCACGUCUUCCCCCUUCCCUUAUUCAUCGGCCAUCUUCCAUUCUUUUGCCAUCCUUCUUCUUUCAUUUGUAUUUAGUUCAAUGUUACUUAGCUGUGUUUACUCUCAUGUGUAAGAAAAUUAGACAUGUUGCACCUGUACAUUAGCCUAAGUCAUCUUUUAUAUAUGUUUAAUAUCGUCAAGGUAUAUUCCACGUCAACAGCUAGCUGUGGGGUCGGCGUAUACAUUCGGCUUUGCUUGCCAGUUGCGUUUAUAUCUAGUUCAUAUUUUAGGCUCUGCGUUUUAGCCUCCUGUUAUAAAAUGAAUUAGCAUUCCUGUUUUAGCUUUUGUUUUUUCGAUGCAGUCUCCUCUGCAAUAUGUUCGUUCAGUGUUAUUGUCGAUAUAAAGUAUAAAUAUUUAUUUCGUUUUAAGAGGUUCAUUAUUACUUCAACAGAUUUUCUUUCUUGCAAUCUUUAGCAUAGCUAUAUCGAAAUAUAUCUAACGAACCAUUCCUUUACAUUGGAUAAUAUCCUGUUUUUUAACCUUUUUGUGGUUCUGAAAGUUCAUUUUCAACAGUUUUAUUGUAUUAAACAUAAUUAAAGCUUUGAUGAAACAUCUGCCCAGUUUUCAGGAAUGCAAUAAUUCCCUUUUAGUUGUGUUUUAUUCUCUUGUUUAAUAAAAUGUUGUCCACUUUA